CGUUGGGCCUUCUGCACUUCUUGCCUGCGAACCUGGUCAGGGCCGGAAGGAAGCAGCCACAGUGGGAUUAAGAAGGUGCCGGAAUGUGCCUAACGCUU
This 98-nucleotide signal recognition particle RNA is filed under the name Gammaproteobacteria bacterium. Its description in RNAcentral is "signal recognition particle sRNA small type". It matches the Rfam family "Bacterial small signal recognition particle RNA". Rfam says of the family: The signal recognition particle (SRP) is a universally conserved ribonucleoprotein involved in the co-translational targeting of proteins to membranes. Lineage: Bacteria; Pseudomonadati; Pseudomonadota; Gammaproteobacteria. The record is from RNAcentral.